Molecule: ribosomal RNA, 424 nt
Filed under: uncultured bacterium
Lineage: Bacteria
Description: partial 16S ribosomal RNA
Rfam family: Bacterial small subunit ribosomal RNA
Source: RNAcentral
AAUAUUUGAAAAUGGGGACAACCCUGAUCCAGCCAUGCCGCGUGUGUGAAGAAGGUCAUAGGAAUGUACAGCACUUUAAGUUGGGAGGAAGGGCUUUAGGUUAAUACCCUGAAGUUUUGACGUUACCAACAGAAUAAGCACCGGCUAACUCUGUUCCAGCAUCCGCGGUAAUACAGAGGGUGCAAGCGUUAAUCGGAAUUACUGGGCGUAAAGCGCGCGUAGGUGGUUCAGUAAGAUGGGUGUGAAAACCCCGGGCUUAACCUGGGAACUGCUUUCAUAACUGCUGAGCUAGAGUACGGUAGAGGGUAGUGGAAUUUCCUGUGUAGCGGUGAAAUGCGUAGAUAUAGGAAGGAACACCAGUGGCGAAGGCGACUACCUGGACUGAUACUGACACUGAGGUGCGAAAGCGUGGGGAGCAAACAGG